This 492-nucleotide ribosomal RNA is filed under the name uncultured bacterium. Its description in RNAcentral is "partial 16S ribosomal RNA". It matches the Rfam family "Bacterial small subunit ribosomal RNA", at positions 29 to 507 of the family's 1533-position model. The record is from RNAcentral.
AGUGAACGCUGGCGGUAGGCCUAACACAUGCAAGUCGAACGGCAGCACAGUAAGAGCUUGCUCUUACGGGUGGCGCGUGGCGGACGGGUGAGGAAUACAUCGGAAUCUACUUUUUCGUGGGGGAUAACGUAGGGAAACUUACGCUAAUACCGCAUACGACCUACGGGUGAAAGCAGGGGAUCUUCGGACCUUGCGCGAUUGAAUGAGCCGAUGUCGGAUUAGCUAGUUGGCGGGGUAAAGGCCCACCAAGGCGACGAUCCGUAGCUGGUCUGAGAGGAUGAUCAGCCACACUGGAACUGAGACACGGUCCAGACUCCUACGGGAGGCAGCAGUGGGGAAUAUUGGACAAAGGGCGCAAGCCUGAUCCAGCCAUACCGCGUGAGUGAAGAAGGCCUUCGGGUUGUAAAGCCCUUUUGUUGGGAAAGAAAAGCAGCAGGUUAAUACCCCGCUGUUCUGACGGUACCCAAAGAAUAAGCACCGGCUAACUUCGUG